GAAUAUUAGUCAAUGCUCGAAAGAGUGAACUAGCUAACUGAAAUCAAUAAUAAUAAUUGAUAACAUAAGGGAAAAAAAUGAUAUUACCUUAUUAUUAGUGUCGUCCAAAGCUGGUGCCAGAAGACUCGGUAAGGCCAGAGACACAAACGUUAAUCGUCUUAAUCAGGCGUAAAGGGUUUGUAGGCGGCUUUAAAAUUUACUAAUACAAAUAAAUAAUAAGUAAAGAAUAAAAGCUAGAAUCAAAUAGAGGAUAUAUGAAAGAAUGCUUAGAGUAGGUCUGAUAUCCUUAGAUACUAAGUAGAAUAUUAAAGGCGAAAGCUUUUUUCCAUUAAUGAUUGACGCUCAGAAACGAAGGUGAGGAUAGGAAAUAGGAUUAGAUACCCAGAAUACCCCUCUCUGUCAACGAUGAAUGGUAGUUAUUAGUAAAAAUUUAUUAAUGGCAAUGUUAACACGAUAACCAUUCCGCCUUGUGAGUACAACUGCAAAGUUGAAAACAAAAAAAUUAGUCGGUUUCGGAGCAAACGAAGUGAAGCAUGUUAUUUAAUC
RNAcentral lists this ribosomal RNA (546 nucleotides) under Russula olivacea. RNAcentral's name for it is "mitochondrial SSU rRNA". It matches the Rfam family "Bacterial small subunit ribosomal RNA", at positions 359 to 951 of the family's 1533-position model. The record is from RNAcentral. Lineage: Eukaryota; Fungi; Basidiomycota; Agaricomycetes; Russulales; Russulaceae.